CCUACGGGAGGCAGCGGUGAGGCAUAUUGGUCAAUGGGCGCGAGCCUGAACCAGCCAAGUCGUGUGAGGGAGGACGGCCCUACGGGUUGUAAACCUCUUUUGCCGGGGAACAACGGGCGUCACGUGUGGCGCCACUGCGAGUACCCGGAGAACAAGCAUCGGCUAACUCCGUGCCAGCAGCCGCGGUAAUACGUAGGUGGCGAGCAUUAUCCGGAAUGAUUGGGCGUAAAGGGUGCGUAGGCGGCCUGCUAAGUCUGGAGUGAAAGGUACCGGCUCAACCGGUAUAGGCUCUGGAAACUGGCGGGCUAGAGAGCAGGAGAGGGCGGUGGAACUCCAUGUGUAGCGGUAAAAUGCGUAGAUAUAUGGAAGAACACCAGUGGCGAAGGCGGCCGCAUGGCCUGUUACUGACGCUGAGGCACGAAAGCGUGGGGAGCAAAUAGGAUUAGAUACCCGAGUAGUC
This 460-nucleotide ribosomal RNA is filed under the name uncultured bacterium. RNAcentral's name for it is "partial 16S ribosomal RNA". It matches the Rfam family "Bacterial small subunit ribosomal RNA", at positions 338 to 795 of the family's 1533-position model. The record is from RNAcentral.